This 1061-nucleotide long non-coding RNA is filed under the name Homo sapiens (human). Its description in RNAcentral is "long non-coding RNA NONHSAT152329.1". Lineage: Eukaryota; Metazoa; Chordata; Mammalia; Primates; Hominidae. The record is from RNAcentral.
CUGGGCUGAGCGCAGGGAGCUGCUUGGCAGUGCCAGAGCCCAGGCCCCAGAGCCCUGCUGGAGAGGAGGCAGACUGAGGCAGCAGGCCCCGCCAGCAGGCGAAGCAGGGAGAUGUCAGACUGCUACACGGAGCUGGAGAAGGCAGUCAUUGUCCUGGUGGAAAACUUCUACAAAUAUGUGUCUAAGUACAGCCUGGUCAAGAACAAGAUCAGCAAGAGCAGCUUCCGCGAGAUGCUCCAGAAAGAGCUGAACCACAUGCUGACACAGGGAACCGGAAGGCUGCGGAUAAGCUCAUCCAGAACCUGGAUGCCAAUCAUGAUGGGCGCAUCAGCUUCGAUGAGUACUGGACCUUGAUAGGCGGCAUCACCGGCCCCAUCGCCAAACUCAUCCAUGAGCAGGAGCAGCAGAGCAGCAGCUAGAGACCCCUUUGGCCACACCUUCCAGGCACUGGCCUGAUGCCCCGCCCUGGUGCUCUCCCCAGGCUCCCUCCUCAGCCUCCUGCCCACCCAGGGCCCUUUACUCUCUUCUCCCUCCAGACCUUCCUCUGACCCUUGCUGAACUGGGGUCCCUUUGUGAGUGUCUCAGUCUAGAGGUACCUCCCUCCCUGGGGGGUCUCAGCUCCUGGAGUCGCAGGCCCUUGGGGCCCCUCUGUGAGAUCUCAAUGCUGUCUGGGGACCCUAAGAGUUUUCUCACCUGUUCAGUCUCAUCUAACCUUCCAAUGUCUGAUGUUCCUGCCAAAUUCCUGCCUGAUUCUGGGUCCGUCCUGACCUCCAAAGGUCAGCUUGGUGCUUGAGGUCUCCCUGCUCUUGGUGGCAGUGGUAGCAGCAACAGCAGCAGCAGCAGCAGCAGCAGCAGCAGAGACCUCUCCACUUUCCCUUAGCCCCUCUGCUGGGUAGAGAGGCACUUUCAGGGACUUCCCUCCAGCUGCCUCUUCAUCUGGGAAUGAGCUAAGCAAGGCUGAGCCUCCUCCUGUUGCUUGAAAUAAUGAUGAUAUAAAGGCUGGAUUUGGAGUUUGUAUCCCCUGGUCCCUCUGGGAUGCUCAUUAAAACCUUCCCACUCCU